UAUUGUAUUGCGUUAAACGCGGAUACAUUCCAUGAGACUUUAUUACGGUGUGAGUGUAAAGAUGCAGAACCGCAGCAGGAGGACAAGUCCCCCAGGCCACAGAACUACAGAAGGGUGCACAGGUGUGAGUGGAUGUGCAGACAGAGCGUGCACAUGCCCCCGUUUAGGGACCAGCAACAACUCGUGUCGGCAGUUCGGUAAUGAUCCUUCCGCAGGUUCACCUACGGAAA
This 230-nucleotide unclassified non-coding RNA is filed under the name uncultured fungus. RNAcentral describes it as "sequence contains ITS1". Lineage: Eukaryota; Fungi. The record is from RNAcentral.